GAGCUCGAGCGCGCACGCUCCCGCUAGGUGGACCAAUUGCGCAAGACCGCGUGGGUGGGCCUCUUGAGCGGACCGUAUACAGUCUUACUGUCGAUACAUAGGGCCAGAUCGCGUACGUUGCGCAGUAACGGACGGAGAGUGAAAAUGUACCAUCGGUACAUUUGAAGGAUCACGGUACGUGACUUACUCGGACAAUAGUUCUGUCGAGAAAACAGUGUAGACAUAGUAGUGGAAAAAAUAAAUGCGUUUGCAGCCCCAGCAGAAGCCAAGAUCCCACCCCGCUCCCUCAUUAUGAGUGCUCUGCGGUGCCAUCAGUAGAGAGCAGAGUCCAUGGCGGCGGCGGAAGAGAACGGCAAUGGGCUGGAGUUCCUAACAGAUCCUGUCGACAGGUCUUCUCACAGGUUCCCCUGGCCGGAUCUUGAAACCAAGGAUUUAACUCCGGCCGGUGAGGCAGGUACAUGCCUCACAUAGUCGGCUGCUGAAUCAAGCAUGGGAGAUGUUGGCGAUGACCCACUGUCAAUCCAAUUGGCCGUCAAUAACGGCUGCGAAGCACUAAGCUUGUCGGCGGCCGAUUCGCAGCAAUCAACAAGAAAAGAUGACCCUCAAGCCCCCGGUUGGACUAGAAGGUACCCUCGCUUGGUUUCGAUCCUGCUUAACUUAACAUAUUCAUGUAAGCCAUAUUUGAUAAAAAAAGAACUCUGAAGCACAAGGUGUAUUUGCAUACUGCUCGCUUGUCAGCUCUGAAUUCUUCAGAUUUGCAUACUGCUCGUGUGUCAGCACUGAAUUCUUCAGCAAAAACCAAAAAAGUAUAUAAAAAACAUCAAUUCAUAGUUGUCCAUGCUCAUAUCUGAAUGUAUUACGGUUAUAUAUGUCUGAAAAAUUUAUAUCUCCAGAUGUACAUCUCUGCUUUACAUUUUGGUCGCUUAUCAAGCCUGAUGUCUUUUACAGUCGGCUGCAUUUCAUUCUUAAUAAUUUUAGAAAUCUGAAAGUAAACCUGCACCUCCAUGUUGCUUGUGUAUGAACAAUGAAAUCCUGAUGAGAAAAUGAGCAAAACGUAAGUUUGUCUUGGAUCGUCAUAAACACUGAAAACAGUGUGGUAAGCCAUGUCUGAAUGAUUGAAAUCUUUAAGAUUAAAGCAGUGCUACUAUAUUGGUUGCUUGUGAGCAUUGCAUUCUUCAGUACAAAUCAGGCACCCAUUUUCAGUCAAGUAAUGAUCCGUUAAAUAAUGAGCGCACACCAUGCGCUGGAAGAGUAUGUGCCCUUGGAAAAACCUUAAGAGGGUACGCGGAGAAGAAAACAGAUAUCAUCGUGGUACCAACUGUUGGAUACAAUUUUGAUUCAUUGGGAGAAGCAUAUGACUCCUAUAAUCUAUAUUCGUGGGAGAUUGGCUUUGUGAUAAGAUAUGGAAAAAGUAGGCUUAACGUCAAGACUCGGGAGAACCAAAUGUAUGCAAGAAAUAGUCUGUGGAUGCUCGGGCAAACCAAAAAAAGGAAACGCACGGAUAUGCCGCUGCGAGUGCCCUGCAACGAACACGGUUCCGCACUAUAUGCCGUGGCCCUGGUCACAAAAGCACAACUUGUCCACAGAGAGGGGACACGCCUCAAAAGAAAAAGAGAGAACCGAAAUGCUCGAUCUGCGGGGUGGGAGGUCGUCGGAAGAACACCUACAGCAAUCCUAAGAUUGUGGUACAUGUUGCCGAGCAAACAACUCAUGAUCCUGCUAUCGAUCAGUGAUAAAUCUAUGCAAGCACGAAAGCAUGUCAAGUAGCACCCAGUUUGUUACUGUAUUCUGGUUGAUCAAUGCCACUUUCCUGAAGGUGUAUUGUGUAUUAUCAGCUUAGUAAUCUGUACUUGUCUCAACCAUGGCAACCCAUGAUGCGUGUAUGCAAGCAUCGCAAGUGCAUCUAAUUUUUUA
Molecule: long non-coding RNA, 1914 nt
Organism: Triticum aestivum (bread wheat)
Lineage: Eukaryota; Viridiplantae; Streptophyta; Magnoliopsida; Poales; Poaceae
Exons: 3
Source: RefSeq, a predicted model, not a curated record